CAGCAACAAUGGGGAUGAUGUUCUUAAUCUCUGUGCUGCUGCCAGUCAGCAGUACUCGACCAUCCGGUUGAAUGGUAAUUUUCGAACUGCGAGCCAUAUCUCCCAGAAAGUCUACUAAAGGGUUGACGGAAUCAAAAUUUCCCUUCGUGUUGAUCAUAUGCGGUCCCAGAUCGACUGACAGUUGCAAUGAUUGAAGGUCGAUCGGCUCAGAAACCUCGGACAGAUCCAAUCCCAAUGGUUCUAAUUCGUUCAGGCGAGAUUUGGGGAAUUGCAUUAUUCUGUCAUGUCUGGCGCAUUGUCCAGAAAUCCCAGACCCGGAGAGAACUCUAUUUGUCCACUCAUCUACAUGGGAAAAAAAAGUAAACAAUUAGCAUCAUCUUGUCAAAGUCUAUAACUUGG
Molecule: long non-coding RNA, 399 nt
Filed under: Linum usitatissimum (flax)
Lineage: Eukaryota; Viridiplantae; Streptophyta; Magnoliopsida; Malpighiales; Linaceae
Description: long non-coding RNA (LUSI_LNC001442)
Source: RNAcentral